UUGAGGUGAUGAAGUGAUUUUCUAUCAUUUUAGGUUGUUUUUGGUGCAUUAUUUGCAAGAAUGGAGAAUUGUGGAUUCAUCACGACUUGGGAUUUUGUGGGUACAUCUUCUACAAACCCUCACGAGAACACACUCGUCCACUAGAGCUAUCUAGGGGUUUAAAGGGCUUGUUGCAUGUGCUAAAUGCAACCGUGAUCACCUACGGAAGUGGUACUAGAGCGAGGAAGGACAUGCACGCGAGAACGAGCUGAAAAACGAAGAAUAGGGCUGCCAGUGGCAGACAGUAGCGCGCCCGCGCUAACCUCUAGCGCGCCCGCGCUACCUACUGCUGCCACUAGCGCGCCUGCGCUAGUUUAGCGCGGCCGCGCCCUCUAGAAGUGUUCCGGGCCGAUUUUUACAGCUUUUCUGAUGGAUUUUCGCAGCGGACGAGGCCCAGUUGACUUAGUCAAAGCAUUUUAAUUUCUCAAGUGUAAAAACCCUAGCCUCGAAGUAGUUAGAAAUCGGAACAAUUUCAUAGUUAGUUUUCUUUUGUAAUCAAGCACAUUAUCGGUUUUGUAUUGGAUCGUUCUUCGCGAGGAAGUGACAGUUUCGAGCGAGAUCGUGAACAUCAAUUCUGUAACGUUGUGAUCUUUAUUAUUAAUUCAAGCAUUUUUAUUUCGUU
RNAcentral lists this long non-coding RNA (661 nucleotides) under Daucus carota (carrot). Its description in RNAcentral is "long non-coding RNA (DCAR_LNC006857)". Lineage: Eukaryota; Viridiplantae; Streptophyta; Magnoliopsida; Apiales; Apiaceae. The record is from RNAcentral.